Long non-coding RNA from Musa acuminata AAA Group (dessert banana), 1239 nucleotides. RefSeq lists it as uncharacterized. Lineage: Eukaryota; Viridiplantae; Streptophyta; Magnoliopsida; Zingiberales; Musaceae. The record is from RefSeq and is a predicted model, not a curated record. The transcript is spliced from 2 exons.
CCUUUCCCUCCCUCGAUCCAAACACGACUCUUCCAAUUCCGACAUCUGACGCGAUCAUUGGCUUUCGCCUCCCUUUUGCCACUUCGAUCGCAGCCCCUCAACCCCUCGCCGCCGAAAUCAAUGCUCCAAGGCCCGUCAAAUGCUCCACUGCUCCACUGCUCCAAUCCUUCCCCAAGAGCUACAGGGCCCGAAACGCCUCGAUCCGGCCGGAGCCUCCCUUCCGCUGCGAUCGGGCGGCCUAAAGCUUGAAUUGGCGCCACCAAUCUUCUCAGAUACACGACCCCCACCCCCCGGAUUGUCCGCUGGUCAAGGGUUCCUGAAACGUUACAAUUGAGUUCUCAGGGGCAGUUAAUCGUUGACCAAGUGGUCCACCAGGAACCCGCAGGAGCGUCGACUUUUGGGAUGCGAUUCGAGGUAUGGAGCUCGUUUGAGUUAUAAAAAACCGGAUUUUGAUGGUUUCCGUGGAUGUACGAGAGUUCUUCAAGCAAAGCAAUUUCCUUCAGUAUAUUAGACCUGAAGUCUGAACUCAUCUUGGAAGAAUGCAUCUUGCUUAACAAGCAACAACGGAAAAGAAGAGUGCUUACUUCUCCCUCAUCAUCAAAAUCAUUGUUACUGGAACCAGACUUUGCUGUCUCUCCAAGUUCAUCAUUCUUUGCAAACCGCCCACGGACUCUUGGUCUGCUGUCUGCUAGAGUUUUUCUACAAGCAUACUGCAGGUAUUGUGAUCAACUUGGCUGUUAGAGGAUGAAAUCAUUUAGGCUUACAUCUCAUGACCAGUUAAAUUAGUUUUGAUGCCAUCGAUUUUUACCUUGAUCUUUUUGCUGAAGUUUCUCUCAGCUCUCUUCUUCAUGUAUCUGUCGAUCUUCUCCUUCCUCUCCUCCACUGACAGGCGCCCUACUUUGAAGCUGGAAUCAUCCAUUGCCGAUAUAUCAGUAGCUGCCAGAGGUGUUGGGCUGCAGCCACUUCCCGCCAUCGGCACCUUUACCCGGCAAAUGAGACUUUUAAUAGAAGGCCAAGAUAUAAGGUGCCAAAUUACUGUCAUGAUUUGACAAUUUGUACUUGGCGUGCUGAAUCUAUUUGUUGGUGAUGUGGUCAAACAUAAAUAAUAGGCUUCGAUUCCCAAAUCUUGUGUAGAAUAAUGGUUUAACAGAUCAGGCAUCUGAAAACUUUUGUCAAAGGAGUGCUGCUGGAGAGAUACUAUUCCCGUCUCUAAUAAUUGGUUGUUCAACAGUUCAGGCA